GGGUAUGUAGCUCAGUGGUACAGCACCUGCCUGGCAAGCAUGAGGCCCUGAGUUUGCUUCCCAGCACCA
Molecule: transfer RNA, 69 nt
Filed under: Cavia porcellus (domestic guinea pig)
Lineage: Eukaryota; Metazoa; Chordata; Mammalia; Rodentia; Caviidae
Rfam family: tRNA
About the family: Transfer RNA (tRNA) molecules are approximately 80 nucleotides in length.
Source: Rfam by way of RNAcentral